Molecule: transfer RNA, 77 nt
Filed under: Cephaloticoccus sp.
Lineage: Bacteria; Pseudomonadati; Verrucomicrobiota; Opitutia; Opitutales; Opitutaceae
Also listed under: 1 other name
Description: tRNA-Pro
Rfam family: tRNA
About the family: Transfer RNA (tRNA) molecules are approximately 80 nucleotides in length. Their secondary structure includes four short double-helical elements and three loops (D, anti-codon, and T loops).
Source: RNAcentral
CGGGGCGUAGCUUAGCCUGGUAGAGCGCUACGUUCGGGACGUAGAGGUCGGGAGUUCGAAUCUCCCCGCCCCGACCA